ACUUCCGGUGGGGAAAGUCCCACCUCUUCGGGGCGAGCCGGGUGGCGCUGGAGCCGCGCCCUGCUGAGCGAGCGAGCCGGCCGGGGACGGUUUCGGGUCGGGACUCCGGCUUCGGGAACGGGCCUCUGGAAACCUGCGACGUCAGUCCUUACCCGCCCGCGGCUGCCGCGGACCGUCCCACCCCCAAACCCGUAGAAGCCCCUCCGACCUGCAACCUCCAGCCGCCCGGCCCUAGGACUUGAGCGGCUCCCUGGCCGGUGCGGAACCUGCGGGCUAAUAAUCUAGCGACCGGGAGAACGCCAAACAUCCCUGGACUAGAAGUUGCAGGGGAAAUCAAACAGCCCAGAAAGUUUAUUCUCCUUGCUGGUAUUUCUUCCACUUGCUAUUUUGCUGAGAGAUGCAUGCAAACUACCCUUAGACUUUCAGAUGCAGUGCGUUUUACUUAGCCGUGCCUGACAAACACACAGAACUUUUACCGUCUGGUAGAUCCGCCUUGACUUUACCAGCGAAUACUAAAGUCACUUAAAAAAAAAUCACAAGGCUCGAAAACAGCAGCAUUAGAAGUAGACUUUAUGGUACUCUGCUCAGCUAUGUUCUCAUUUGAUUCCAACCACUACACGGCAGAAAAGACUGAUGAGCUUCUCUGUGCAAGGGUGCCUUUUUGGAGCAAUGUCCCCAUUCGGUCCAUUGAUAUGAACCACUUCAUUGAAUGUCUUAGACGGAAAGAAGACUGAAUAAUGAUUGGAAGAACGCCGGAGUCAUCAAGCUCUUUUGAUAACUGCAUAUGUGAACUAGGUCAAGUCACUCUCCCUCAACGGAUCACCAGUUUACCCAACUGUAAAUGGCAACAAUUUUGAACUGAACGUUCUUCCUUCUACAGCCAAAAUUCUUCGUUUGCUAGGUUUGUGAAGUGCUUUUAUAUGUAUGAGCGCUUUCUUAACUAUGAAGAUAUCUGAGUCAUCGAACUUUUGGUGGGGGCAAUCUCAUGAUCAGUCAUGACUAGAUUUUAGAGUUUUCUCAUCCCCAUACUCAAAGUUUUUUUUUUAAGAAUAAAAAUGAAAAGAAACAAUACCCCACAAUAUUUCUGAGCCUCAAAGGACAGACUAAAAAAGCUAACUUUUAAAAUACUUCAUUUUGAAAUAAUUUUGAACUUACAAAAAAAUCGCAAAAAUAAUACCUGGAGUCCCUGUAUACCCUUCACCCAGAUUCCCCUACUGUUAAAUACUUACAUAACCAUAACACAAUUACCAAAACCAGGAAAUUAACACUGGUACGAGACUCUUAACAAGAGAUCUUAUUUGAAUGUCACCAAUUUUCUUCCUAAUGUUCUUCUGUUCUAGGAUCCAAUCCAGGUUCCCACAUGGCAUUUAUUCCUCACUUCUCCUUAGUCUCCUCCAAUCUGUGACACUUUCUAAGUCUUUCCUUGUCUUUCAUGACCAUGACACUUUGGAUGAGUACUGGUCAUUUAUUCUGUAAAAUGCCUCUCACUUUGUGUUUGUUGAAUGUUUUCUCAUGAUUAGACCGAGACCAUGUCUUUUUGGCAGGAACAUCACAGAAAUGGUGUGUAUCCUAUCUGAGGGUAUGUGAUAUUGAUAUAUCUUAUCACUCAUUAUGUUAACCUUAAACACCUGGUUAAAGUGGCAUCUGCUGGGUUUCUCCACUGUAAAGUGACUAUUUUCCCUUUAUUUAUUUAUUUUAGAAACAGGGUCUUGCUGUGUUGCCCAGGCUGGAGUGCAGUGGCACAAUCACUGCUCACUGCAGCCUCAAUCUCCCAGGCUCAAGCGAUCCUCUGCCUCCUGAGUAGCUGGGACUACAGGCAUGCACCAUUAUGCCCAGUUAAUUUUUUUAAAAAUGUUUUGUAUAGACAGGGUCUCGCUAUAUUGCCCAGGCUGGUCUCAAACUCCUGGCCUCAAAAGAUCCUCCCACCUCGGCCUCCCAAAGUGCUGGGAUUAAAGGCAUGAGCCAGCCACCAUGCCUGGUCUAUUUUUUAUUGAUAAAUGAAAUAGACCAUGCCUGUUCUAUUUUUAAUUGAUAAAUAUCCUGGGAGAAAUACUUUGGGACAAUGCAAAUAUCCUGUUUCUCCUCCAACUUUUACCCACUGAUUUCAGCAUAUAUCAGUGGAUCUUGCCUGCAACCAUUAUUACCAUGGCAUUUGCCUACUAGUGAUUUUGUGUUUCCUUCAUUUGUUCUCCAUUUAUUAAUUGGAAUUCUUCUGUAAGGAGGAGUUGUCCCUUCUCCCCAACUUAUCCAUUUAUUCAAUUUUUUUUGUAAACUAUGGACUCAUGGGCAUCUAUUUUAUUCUAUGAGCUAUAAUUCAAUACUGUCAUCAUUUAGUUUCUUGCUCAAGUUAUUCUAACUUCAGCCAUUGGGAGCUCCUUCAGACUGGCUACUAUGCUGUCUUGUCAUGCCCCCACCCUUUCUCUAGCACUUUCUUACAUUCUUACACCAAAAGACAUUACAGCCUCAUCUUGUAUUUUCCCUGCUUCUGUCCAGAAUUAGCCAUUAUUCCAAAGAUCCCGAGUUCCUUUAUUGGAGAAUGAUAUUAGACACAAAGAUGUGGGUACUAAGUAUACUCGUUGCUGUUGGGGUGUUAAUUGCUUCUAGGGCUUCCCAAGACAGAGCUAGGAAAUGAAAGCAUACAUAAUAACCCAUGCAUACACACAGAUCAAUAUCUAUUCCUGUAUCUAUCUGUAUACAUACUCAUGUGUCCUUUCUAAUCCACACCACGGUAUUCAUCCUAACCUUCCCUUUUUAUUUUUAACUUUUUUCCUCUGAUAGUGAGAAAAUAGGCUCUCAUUAUCUACUCUAUAUACAUUUAUUUGUUCAACCUCAGUAUCUACAUACUUACAUAUGCCUGUGAGGAACAGAUUUACUAACUAGAAUCCUGUAUUUGUGUGCAAUUCUUUUUAUCUUUAUUAUAAAUAUAGCACCUCCAGGCUUCUUUUUAUUAGUGUCAGCAUGACAUAGCUUUUCCCAUCUUUUUACUGUUAAUAUUUUAAACUCAAAAAAAGCAAGGAGGAAAACAGUAUGCUACUAUCUGUGUGAAAAUGGAAAAUAAGUAUGGAUAUAUUUGCUCAUAUGUAUAUAUAUAAUAUCUAUGGGAGAGGGAAAACCAAAAUAUCAGUUUGGAGGUCAACUGAUUAACUGGGGAAAAGAGAUGAGGGGAAAACUUCGCUGCAUACUCUACUAUCGUUGAAAUUUCUUAAACUUUUUCAUUGAGUAUAAUUCACAAAUCAUAAAACUCACCCUUUUAAAGUCUACACAUCAGUAGUUUUUAACACAUUUAUAUACAAAGUUGUGUAACUAUCAUCACUAAUUCCAGGACAUUUUCAUCACCCUUAAAAAAAAAGCCAUGUACCCAUUAGUAGUUAAUUCCCAUACCCCUCACCCCUCACUCACCCAUCUACUGCCCUUCACAAGACCCUGGCAACCACUAAUCUGCUUUCUGUCUCUAUGGAUUUGCCAACUCUUGAUGUUUCAUAUAAAUGGAAUCACACAAUAUGUGACCUUUUAUGUCUGGCUUCUUUCACUUAACAUCAUGUUUUUAAGGUUCAUCCAUGUUGUAGCAUGGAUCAGUACUUUGUUCCUUUUUGUAGCUGAGUAAUAUUACAUUGUAUGUAUAUACCAUAUUUUGUUGAUGUACUCAUUAGUUGACUGUUUUUCUAAAUUUUUGAAUUAUGAAAAUAUCCAUUCAAAAAUUAAACUUUAAAAAAUAGAAACAAAAUGAAAAAGCCCUUCUCAUAAAAAACAGAAAAAUGUAAAAAAAAAAAA
This is a long non-coding RNA of Homo sapiens (human), 3771 nucleotides long. Ensembl annotates it as RAP2C antisense RNA 1. Its record names the gene RAP2C-AS1. NCBI's taxonomy places the organism in Eukaryota, Metazoa, Chordata, Mammalia, Primates, Hominidae. The record is from Ensembl.